RNAcentral lists this ribosomal RNA (164 nucleotides) under Gentiana straminea. Its description in RNAcentral is "5.8S ribosomal RNA". It matches the Rfam family "5.8S ribosomal RNA". From Rfam's summary of the family: 5.8S ribosomal RNA (5.8S rRNA) is a component of the large subunit of the eukaryotic ribosome. It is transcribed by RNA polymerase I as part of the 45S precursor that also contains 18S and 28S rRNA. Lineage: Eukaryota; Viridiplantae; Streptophyta; Magnoliopsida; Gentianales; Gentianaceae. The record is from RNAcentral.
AAAACGACUCUCGGCAACGGAUAUCUCGGCUCUCGCAUCGAUGAAGAACGUAGCGAACUGCGAUACUUGGUGUGAAUUGCAGAAUCCCGUGAACCAUCGAGUCUUUGAACGCAAGUUGCGCCCGAAGCCAUUAGGCCGAGGGCACGCCUGCCUGGGUGUCACGC